Molecule: small nuclear RNA, 105 nt
Organism: Perognathus longimembris pacificus (Pacific pocket mouse)
Lineage: Eukaryota; Metazoa; Chordata; Mammalia; Rodentia; Heteromyidae
Source: RefSeq, a predicted model, not a curated record
GUGCUUGCUUCGGCAUCACAUAUACUAAAAUUGGAACGAUACAGAGAAGAUUAGCAUGGCCCCUGCAAGGAUGAGGCUGAUAUCUGAGGAUUAUAAUUCAAAGCC